UCGAUUUGGAGUUUGUUGCCUAGAGUGAUGGGCUCCGAAGCUAACGCGAUAAAUCGACCGCCUGGGGAGUACGGCCGCAAGGUUAAAACUCAAAUGAAUUGACGGGGGCCCGCACAAGCGGUGGAGCAUGUGGUUUAAUUCGAUGCAACGCGAAGAACCUUACCUGGUCUUGACAUCCACAGAAUCUUGCAGAGAUGCGAGGGUGCCUUCGGGAACUGUGAGACAGGUGCUGCAUGGCUGUCGUCAGCUCGUGUUGUGAAAUGUUGGGUUAAGUCCCGCAACGAGCGCAACCCUUAUCCUUUGUUGCCAUUGGUUCGGCCGGGAACUCAAAGGAGACUGCCGUUGAUAAAGCGGAGGAAGGUGGGGACGACGUCAAGUCAUCAUGGCCCUUACGACCAGGGCUACACACGUGCUACAAUGGCGUAUACAAAGGGAGGCGACCUCGCGAGAGCAAGCGGACCUCAUAAAGUACGUCUAAGUCCGGAUUGGAGUCUGCAACUCGACUCCAUGAAGUCGGAAUCGCUAGUAAUCGUGAAUCAGAAUGUCACGGUGAAAUACGUUCCCGGGCCU
This 570-nucleotide ribosomal RNA is filed under the name uncultured Gammaproteobacteria bacterium. RNAcentral describes it as "bacterial SSU rRNA". It matches the Rfam family "Bacterial small subunit ribosomal RNA", at positions 812 to 1381 of the family's 1533-position model. The record is from RNAcentral. Lineage: Bacteria; Pseudomonadati; Pseudomonadota; Gammaproteobacteria.